GUCGGCGGCAGUCGUGGAGUAAUCUAAGACCUAGAGCGGCGCACGGGUGCGUAACGCGUAUGCAACCUACCUUAUACUGGGGGAUAGCCCGGAGAAAUCUGGAUUAAUACCCCAUGGCACAUAUUGAUGGCAUCUGAGAUAUGUUAAAGAUUUAUUGGUAUAAGAUGGGCAUGCGUCUGAUUAGCUAGUUGGCGGUGUAACGGACCACCAAGGCGACGAUCAGUAGGGGUUCUGAGAGGAAGGUCCCCCACACUGGCACUGAGAUACGGGCCAGACUCCUACGGGAGGCAGCAGUAGGGAAUAUUGGGCAAUGGUCGGAAGACUGACCCAGCCAUGCCGCGUGCAGGAAGAAGGCCCUCUGGGUUGUAAACU
This 372-nucleotide ribosomal RNA is filed under the name Bacteroidetes bacterium '9.3 MW-13'. Its description in RNAcentral is "bacterial SSU rRNA". It matches the Rfam family "Bacterial small subunit ribosomal RNA", at positions 61 to 431 of the family's 1533-position model. Lineage: Bacteria; Pseudomonadati; Bacteroidota. The record is from RNAcentral.